GACGAACGCUGGCGGCGUGCCUAAUACAUGCAAGUUGAGCGCUGAAGGUUGGUACUUGUACCGACUGGAUGAGCAGCGAACGGGUGAGUAACGCGUGGGGAAUCUGCCUUUGAGCGGGGGACAACAUUUGGAAACGAAUGCUAAUACCGCAUAAAAACUUUAAACACAAGUUUUAAGUUUGAAAGAUGCAAUUGCAUCACUCAAAGAUGAUCCCGCGUUGUAUUAGCUAGUUGGUGAGGUAAAGGCUCACCAAGGCGAUGAUACAUAGCCGACCUGAGAGGGUGAUCGGCCACAUUGGGACUGAGACACGGGCCAAAAUCCUAAGGGAGGCAGCAGUAGGGAAUCUUCGGCAAUGGACGAAAGUCUGACCGAGCAACGCCGCGUGAGUGAAGAAGGGUCUCGGAUCGUAAAACUCUGUUGGUAGAGAAGAAAGUUGGUGAGAGUGGAAAGCUCAUAAAGUGACGGUAACUACCCAGAAAGGGACGGCUAACUACGUG
Molecule: ribosomal RNA, 497 nt
Filed under: uncultured bacterium
Lineage: Bacteria
Description: partial 16S ribosomal RNA
Rfam family: Bacterial small subunit ribosomal RNA
Source: RNAcentral